AUCACUGGCUGGAGCCGGUCCUGAGCCAGCUAGCCCAAAGCUAUGGAUGAGAGCUGAAUGGUUUACUUCUUCCCAGCAAUCUCACGGCUGCUGGAUGGAGGGAGUUCCUGCCCUUUGGUUGGGAUGAGCCAGACAGACCCCGACAGCCUCCACUUGCAAUCACUGGGCAGGCGUGCCAGGGACCGGAGAACAAAUAUCCAUUGUGAUGGAAGUGGUGGAACUGAUGACAUCAGAUCAUUAUGACAUCACUGCUUAACACAAAUCCCCAAAGCUCAUCUGAUGAAGUGGGUCUUAUCUACGAAAGCUCAUAAGCCAAUAUAUUUUUGUUAGUCUCUACGGUGCCACAGGACUGCUUGUUAAAUGGCUCCCCCUCUGAGAUAUUUCACUCCAGGUGGGGUCAGGAAUAAACCAAUGGGAAUACAGCAAUGCUGUCUGAGAAAUAAUUAAUGCAGACAGCUCCAUGCAGCGACAGCACAGAGCUCUUGGGACCCGACAGAUGUUGCAGAUUGCACCGGGUCUGCAGUCCUCACACCGAAGCAACUUCCUGAGCUCUUUAGGCUUUGGCAAUUUUCAAUUUCAUCACGAGCCUCCAGAUUCAACCGCUUGUUCCUUCCUCUACCCGCCGCAGCACAAAAACGGGUUUGGCGGCACGUCAUCUGCUUUAAUGUGCAGGCCCAGGUUUAUGCAGAGAUGUGUGCAAAAAUGGCAUUGCCAACAUAAAAUACCUUUUGAAGCUGCAAAACUAAUGGAAUGCUCUCUGCCAACAAUUCCAUCUCCCGCGGGAUCUAAAACUGCUGGGCUGAGCUAAAAGAAACCGGGAGG
Molecule: non-coding RNA, 822 nt
Organism: Pelodiscus sinensis (Chinese soft-shelled turtle)
Lineage: Eukaryota; Metazoa; Chordata; Testudines; Trionychidae
Source: RefSeq, a predicted model, not a curated record